GGCCCGAUAGCUCAGUUGGUAGAGCAGAGGAUUGAAAAUCCUUGUGUCCCUGGUUCGAUCCCGGGUCGGGCCACCA
RNAcentral lists this transfer RNA (76 nucleotides) under Verrucomicrobiales bacterium. RNAcentral describes it as "tRNA-Phe". It matches the Rfam family "tRNA". Rfam says of the family: Transfer RNA (tRNA) molecules are approximately 80 nucleotides in length. Their secondary structure includes four short double-helical elements and three loops (D, anti-codon, and T loops). Further hydrogen bonds mediate the characteristic L-shaped molecular structure. tRNAs have two regions of fundamental functional importance: the anti-codon, which is responsible for specific mRNA codon recognition, and the 3' end, to which the tRNAs corresponding amino acid is attached (by aminoacyl-tRNA synthetases). tRNAs cope with the degeneracy of the genetic code in two manners: having more than one tRNA (with a specific anti-codon) for a particular amino acid; and 'wobble' base-pairing, i.e. permitting non-standard base-pairing at the 3rd anti-codon position. RNAcentral also lists the same sequence under 1 other name. The record is from RNAcentral. Lineage: Bacteria; Pseudomonadati; Verrucomicrobiota; Verrucomicrobiia; Verrucomicrobiales.